RNAcentral lists this long non-coding RNA (2315 nucleotides) under Nicotiana tabacum (common tobacco). RNAcentral describes it as "long non-coding RNA (NTAB_LNC012812)". The record is from RNAcentral. Lineage: Eukaryota; Viridiplantae; Streptophyta; Magnoliopsida; Solanales; Solanaceae.
CCACUUUGCCAAUAGAAUUAAUGAUUACUGUAAAUAGAAAUCAUGAAUAUUGCAUAUUCUGUUCGAGUGUUAAAUAAAUAACGAUAUGCAUUCACUUAUAAAAAAAAAAGAAGAAGAAGGAUAUAGUUUUGCUUAAACUAUGUGAUGCUUAUAAGCUUUUCACAUAAUAUUUUUUCAUCGUAGUACUAUUGAGUUUGCUUCAGAUGGUAAUAUAUGAGUAUUUUUUGGAUAAAAUCUACAAGACCUUUAUUCCUUGUCACACUGUAUGAAAAUCUUUCAUAAUCUUCUGCAAUCUUUUUGUAGGACUCUUCCUCAUUUUGCCGAUCCCUCACAUUUGAAUAAUUUGUUGUCGCUCUAGAGUGUUAUGCAACCCUAUACAAACAUCAUACAUGUAUUAUUGCAAAGCUACAGUAUCAGACACCCAGGACUGCAAUAUAAAUAUGCUCUAUGUCCAUCUUCCAAUCAAUAACCAUAAUGCCAAAAGAUCUUCUUUAACUCAAUACCGAAUAUAGAAUAUUUAUCAAGAUUAAUAAGACAGGGAAAAGGAAACAUGAAAGAGUUCUCAUCAUGUCCAAUUAAGGAAAGACUCUAUCAAAACGUAAAAUAUGUAUAGAACCAAAAACAAUGUGUAAUAUGCACAUCAAAUGCAAGGGUGAAAUAGUUUUUCUGGAAUGCACCUGCAUUCUAAUCGUUUAGAUGCUUUUGGUGCAGGCAUCCGAAACUGGAAGCAAGUUGCUAUAUAAAAGGUCUUGUGUGUCUCUUGUGUCUUGUUGUUGAUAACUCCAAGUAAAAUUUGAAGUACCUCUCUUCAAAUCUUGGCUAAAUAAAUUGAUCAUCCAAUUUGACCCUGUUAAAAGAAAUUAGAAGGGAAAAAAAUAUAAUCCACCAAGCAUAAUCUUAUUAACUUUUUGCUUUUUCAUAUAUGCUUAUCUCCUUUAGCAAUUACUCCUUUUCGAAUGUUCAUCUACAUAUAUAUGGUAUUACGCCAGUCGUCAUAUAUUAGAUUUGGUUCAAAACAAUGUAGUCUCAAAUUUGAAAGAUGCAAGUAUUGGUGUUUGAAUUAACUUUUAUAUAUUUGAUCUUUUACCCACAAAAGAUAGUAUAAAAUUUCUCCUACUUUUAUUACUUUUAAAACAAUGGAAAGCAGAAGCAAAUGGACAAUCGGCCACACAUCCAUCUUCUUUUCCCUUUUUGUUUCAUCUCUGUUUUUCUCAGUUAUCUAUUCUUAUGUUUUCCUUUUUUAUUUUUUUCCCUAUUCAGCACAUCAUUUUUUUCAACAAAAUGAUCAGCAAAUACAAAAAGAAAAUUAUAAAAAAAUUACUCUUCUUUUUAAAUAACACCCAUUUUCAUGCCAGUCGAAACUCCAUUCUUACUCCUAUGAUUAAUUCUGUAAAAUUAACAUACUUCUCCUCUUAAGUUUGACAAACAAAUACCAAAAAAUAUGUUUUCCUUUAUUAGCUCCUCCUCAAAUAAAUCAAAGAGAAAAAGAAAAUAAUGGACGUCACUAUACAGGCACACCAGAGGAAAUUGAGAAUAUACAAAAUCAUACCCGAGUAUGAAAUUAGAGUAAUAUAGAAAUGAACCUGUUUUUCUUGACAUUAUUUUAAUCGUUAUGAGAGCCAAAUCUCACUCGUCAGCACUCGAUCUUCCUUUGAAUUUUUGGCACUGGCGAGUUAUUUUACUGCCUGUGACCUUUGGAGGGUCUGCCUCUCUUCUGUGUUGGGGGAAUCAGUUAUUUCUCCUCAAGAAUUCCUUUGCCAUCUAUGAUACUUACAGUAAUAAAAAUAAAUCAACCAAGUGAUGGAAUUUAAUGGGAAAAGGAACAUGGUUGUAUAGAAUCAGGGAAGUAAUUGAGUAGUUCCUAUCAUGAUAAUUUUGUAGGAAACUCUACUUCUAAUAAUUUAAAAUAUUUGCAAAAUUUAGCAACGCAAAAUGCAAUAAAAAGCAAACUAUCGUGCAAGACUUUCAACCAAUAUGCAACAUUGGCUAAAGAGCCCUAAUUAAUCUCAAAAGUUUGUACGAAAGUAAGAUGAAAAGGAGAAGGUGAGAAGCUUCAGCGGUAUAUCUGCUUGGACUCAUCAUUUGUUACGCUGUAAAGAUUUGCUCCUACAACUGACAAUCAAACCUGAAAUUUCAUAACCCGUGGAUUUCCGCGUGAAUUAUGAAGAAAUAAUGAGGCUUUUCGGUUGUCCAUAUUGAAGGCAACGUUGGUUUUAAUUAGUCGUGACUUUUGGACUUUCACAGGAGUAUUAAGUUUAAUGAAAAAAUUUAGGGAAAAAGGCAAAAAAAAUGACAAAAAAGAUAAAUAGUAUUCU